UGGGGAAUCUUGGACAAUGGGCGCAAGCCUGAUCCAGCCAUGCCGCGUGAGUGAUGAAGGCCCUAGGGUUGUAAAACUCUUUCGUGGGGGACGAUAAUGACGGUACCCCAAGAAGAAGCUCCGGCUAACUUCGUGCCAGCAGCCGCGGUAAUACGAAGGGGGCUAGCGUUGUUCGGAUUUACUGGGCGUAAAGCGCGUGUAGGCGGGCUGGAAAGUUGGGGGUGAAAUCCCGAGGCUCAACCUCGGAACUGCCUCCAAAACUUCCAGCCUGGACUCAAGUAGAGGCAAGUGGAAUUGCGAGUGUAGAGGUGAAAUUCGUAGAUAUUCGCAGGAACACCAGUGGCGAAGGCGACUUGCUGGACUUGUAGUGACGCUGAGACGCGAAAGCGUGGGGAGCAAACAGGAUUAGAUACCCUAGUAGUCCCUGAGCGGGCUGGCAAGGCGCAU
RNAcentral lists this ribosomal RNA (447 nucleotides) under uncultured bacterium. RNAcentral's name for it is "bacterial SSU rRNA". It matches the Rfam family "Bacterial small subunit ribosomal RNA", at positions 355 to 825 of the family's 1533-position model. The record is from RNAcentral.